AAACUCUUGUCUUUUAGUGUAUUAUCUGAGUGGCAUAAGCAAAAUAAAUCAAAACUUUCAGCAACGGAUCUCUUGGUUCUGGCAUCGAUGAAGAACGCAGCGAAAUGCGAUAAGUAAUGUGAAUUGCAGAAUUCAGUGAAUCAUCGAAUCUUUGAACGCACAUUGCGCCCGCCAGUACUCUGGCGGGCAUGCCUGUCCGAGCGUCAUUU
RNAcentral lists this ribosomal RNA (209 nucleotides) under Geosmithia obscura. RNAcentral describes it as "5.8S ribosomal RNA". The stretch from base 53 to 206 matches the Rfam family "5.8S ribosomal RNA". Rfam says of the family: 5.8S ribosomal RNA (5.8S rRNA) is a component of the large subunit of the eukaryotic ribosome. It is transcribed by RNA polymerase I as part of the 45S precursor that also contains 18S and 28S rRNA. The record is from RNAcentral. Lineage: Eukaryota; Fungi; Ascomycota; Sordariomycetes; Hypocreales; Bionectriaceae.